RNAcentral lists this ribosomal RNA (347 nucleotides) under Salmonella enterica subsp. enterica serovar Poona. Its description in RNAcentral is "partial 23S ribosomal RNA". It matches the Rfam family "Bacterial large subunit ribosomal RNA", at positions 72 to 458 of the family's 2925-position model. Lineage: Bacteria; Pseudomonadati; Pseudomonadota; Gammaproteobacteria; Enterobacterales; Enterobacteriaceae. The record is from RNAcentral.
UAAGCGCCGGUAAGGUGAUAUGAACCGUUAUAACCGGCGAUUUCCGAAUGGGGAAACCCAGUGUGACUCGUCACACUAUCAUUAACUGAAUCCAUAGGUUAAUGAGGCGAACCGGGGGAACUGAAACAUCUAAGUACCCCGAGGAAAAGAAAUCAACCGAGAUUCCCCCAGUAGCGGCGAGCGAACGGGGAGGAGCCCAGAGCCUGAAUCAGCAUGUGUGUUAGUGGAAGCGUCUGGAAAGGCGCGCGAUACAGGGUGACAGCCCCGUACACAAAAGCGCAUGUGCUGUGAGCUCGAUGAGUAGGGCGGGACACGUGGUAUCCUGUCUGAAUAUGGGGGGACCAUCC